RNAcentral lists this ribosomal RNA (337 nucleotides) under Listeria monocytogenes. RNAcentral describes it as "partial 23S ribosomal RNA". It matches the Rfam family "Bacterial large subunit ribosomal RNA", at positions 42 to 371 of the family's 2925-position model. The record is from RNAcentral. Lineage: Bacteria; Bacillati; Bacillota; Bacilli; Caryophanales; Listeriaceae.
AGGAGCCGAAGAAGGACGGGACUAACACCGAUAUGCUUUGGGGAGCUGUACGUAAGCGUUGAUCCAGAGAUUUCCGAAUGGGGGAACCCACUAUCUUUAGUCGGAUAGUAUCCUUACGUGAAUACAUAGCGUGAGGAAGGCAGACCCAGGGAACUGAAACAUCUAAGUACCUGGAGGAAGAGAAAGAAAAAUCGAUUUCCUGAGUAGCGGCGAGCGAAACGGAAAGAGCCCAAACCAAGAAGCUUGCUUCUUGGGGUUGUAGGACACUCUAUACGGAGUUACAAAAGAAAGUUAUAAAUGAAGCGGUCUGGAAAGGCCCGCCAAAGACGGUAACAGC